Molecule: long non-coding RNA, 1258 nt
Organism: Musa acuminata AAA Group (dessert banana)
Lineage: Eukaryota; Viridiplantae; Streptophyta; Magnoliopsida; Zingiberales; Musaceae
Exons: 3
Source: RefSeq, a predicted model, not a curated record
UUUCUAUCCUACCCACCACAAAUAUGAUGAAUGGAUGAAAAAGAAAUGUUUUUUUUGUUUUUUGAAAGCAACAACAUGAUGAGUACCUUAAUCGGACUUAAAAGUAGAUCAAGUAGACAUGAUGAUCCAAAAAACGUCCGACCCCCACACUUCUAUGCCCACAAUAAAACGGAGCUCGACACAGGGAGAGGCUGGAGACGAACGUACAGUUUAGCGAGGAAUUGGAGAUGAGGCCGAGACAACGGAGGUGGUAGUAGGACCCCCUCGCCCGUACGGGACAUUCACCGGAGGAGGCAGCUCCAUCGAGCCUCUUCGUUCCUUUCCACAGCUUUCUUGAACUUCCCGUGGGCGCUGGACUCGAGCAAGUUCAGGAAAGCUGUGGGAAUGCAUGGAGAGGUUGGAAUCCCGAGAGGUUCUCGAUCUCCUGUUCAUCUCCCACCGUCUGCUCCUGGAAGUUUUAGUCUGUGAUCUCCACGUAGAGUUAUAAGUUGGCGUUUGCAGUUUGCACAUAAAACCAAGAUCCACUUCCACGUAGUGGAGAUCUACAGGAGGACUUGCCGGAGUCAUGCGCUGCCAGAGGAGAUUCUUCAGGUAAGCAGCGAUUGUUCGUGCAUGUUUGAUCUCUCUGGGAAAACAAGCGUCUCCUCUUUCAAGACACUGCACCUGAUGAGUUAGCAUGAAGGAUUGCUAGUUCGAUUCGAGUGGAAUCUAUCAUAAGACAAUUUGGAUCAAUGUGGGAAUUACCCCAUCCUUCUCCGAGUGGUCGUGGGUGACAGAUGAAGAGGCCAGGCGAAGGGAUGAUGAUCUCAAGGGAAGGCCGACAGGGCUUGUACGGUGGUCAGAUACGUGAUCCCCACGAUUCAUCUUUACGUGUGGACGUCUGAUUGGUACACUGAUCCCUAUCUGUCGUGGUGGUCAGACGUGUGAUCCACAAGAUUCAUCUCACGUCGUUGUGGAUCACCUAAUAAGGGCUUUAAUUCUUCUCGACCACAGGCAUAUGAAGUUUCGAAAACCUGUAUCAUCUCUGUUCUUCAUGUAGCAGGAGUUUCAGGAAAUGUUCUAGUCCGAGGUUACGUGACAUUUCAAUCUCCGACACUGAAUUAUAACAUAAUAUCAUCGAAUUAAUCUGUCAUCAACCACUGCAGUCAUGAUAUUUUUCAUGUUCCGUAACUUGAUGAACCACAUCAGGACACAACUUAAGUCUUGUGGUACAAACAUACUUCUUGCUAUCGACCACCAAGCUUUCAACUGGAGAAGG